AGAAAUACUAGGCUUUAGAAUUUCACCUUAUGAAUUUUGGGAGAGAGGAGCACAGUUCAGCCCAUAACUAACACACGACGGAAUGAAGUUGAUAAUAGUGAGACCUUGUUGGUACAAGACUCUGUAACAUAACCUGCGCUUCUCAACAAAGAAUUGCUUUUCUGACUUCUGCACUCAGUUCUUUCCUCCAGCUCACUUUAUUGUAAGAAGCUUGGUGUCUGUAAUCGACUCGGAACCCUUGCUGCUCUUUCACUGAAUAUCGCUGUCUGGAGCAACACGUUGUCCUGGAUAGCUAACGUGUUUAUGAAUGCAAGGAAAUUUUCAAAAAGAGAGUUUGAAAUUUAACUCCACAAACUACUAUCUGGAUUGGAACGCUACAUUAAAUGUAUUAUAAUUUUGUAUGGACAUAUAAGGAUGGGGAAUGAAAAGGAUCCAAGGCCAUAUGUUGAUAAUCUUUUGAUAUGUUAAGAAAUAAUCUAGUGUUAUUUUCUAUUUCUUCUCAAAUGUUUUUAGAGGUUACUUGGUACACUGGUCGACAAAACCUUGAAAUGUUGAUGUUUAAGGGCUGUUGAUUGCUGGCAACAAAGAAGUCCAACUGUGCUGGUACCCGAGAUAGCGUCUCCACAUUUUCUUCCAGGAUCAUCACCUUUGUUGUAAAUAGCUCCCACAUAGUGUGAACAGAAGUCAUAUGUUUUAGAUUUUCUGCCUUGGCACCCAGG
This 719-nucleotide long non-coding RNA is filed under the name Pan troglodytes (chimpanzee). RNAcentral's name for it is "lincRNA". Lineage: Eukaryota; Metazoa; Chordata; Mammalia; Primates; Hominidae. The record is from RNAcentral.